AUUGAACGCUGGCGGAAUGCUUUACACAUGCAAGUCGAACGGCAGCACGGACUUCGGUCUGGUGGCGAGUGGCGAACGGGUGAGUAAUGUAUCGGAACGUGCCCAGUCGUGGGGGAUAACGUAGUGAAAAUUACGCUAAUACCGCAUACGAUCUAUGGAUGAAAGCGGGGGAUCGCAAGACCUCGCGCGAUUGGAGCGGCCGAUAUCAGAUUAGGUAGUUGGUGGGGUAAAGGCCCACCAAGCCAACUAUCUGUAGCUGGUCUGAGAGGAGGACAAGGCACACUGGAACUGGGACACGGUCCAGACUCCUACGGGAGGCAGCAGAGGGUAGUUUUGGACAAUGGGCGAAAGCCUGAUCCAGCCAUUCCGCGUGCAGGAUGAAGGCCCUCGGGUUGUAAACUGCUUUUGUACAGAACGAAAAGGUUUCUACUAAUACUAGGAGCUCAUGACGGUACUGUAAGAAUAAGCACCGGCUAACUACGUGCCAGCAGCCGCCGUAA
This 500-nucleotide ribosomal RNA is filed under the name uncultured bacterium. RNAcentral's name for it is "partial 16S ribosomal RNA". It matches the Rfam family "Bacterial small subunit ribosomal RNA", at positions 30 to 523 of the family's 1533-position model. The record is from RNAcentral.